UCGAGAAUCUUCGGCAAUGGGCGCAAGCCUGACCGAGCGACGCCGCGUGGAGGAAGAAGGCCCUCGGGUUGUAAACUCCUGUUGGGGGGAAUCAAUUCAAUGAGAGAACCCCUGAGGAAGCACGGGCUAAGUUCGUGCCAGCAGCCGCGGUAAGACGAACCGUGCGAACGUUAUUCGGAAUCACUGGGCUUAAAGCGCGCGUAGGCGGCGCCGUAAGUCAGGGGUGAAAUCCCAACGGCUCAACCGUGGAAUUGCCUUUGAUACUGCGAUGCUCGAGGGAGUAGGGGCAAGUGGAACUUCCAGUGGAGCGGUGAAAUGUGUUGAGAUUGGAAGGAACGCCGGUGGCGAAAGGGACUCACUGGGUCCUAACUGACGCUGAUGCACGAAAGCCAGGGGAGCAAACGGGAUUAGAUACCCUUGUAGUCCCUGAGCGGGCUGGCAAGGCGCAU
Molecule: ribosomal RNA, 449 nt
Filed under: uncultured bacterium
Lineage: Bacteria
Description: bacterial SSU rRNA
Rfam family: Bacterial small subunit ribosomal RNA
Source: RNAcentral